CCCAUCCUGGACCUUCUCCUGACACACAGCAAACCACACUUAGCUGUCAUUGAUGAAUCGGAGCCUCUGCCAGACAGCCGGCCAAGCCGACGCUAACUCACCCCACAGCCUGAAAUAGAAACUCGCUCGUUUUCCAGUGUGUGACAAAGAAGGAAGGACAUCAACUGGGAGUGGCCCAGAAGCCCGAAGCUGAGAGGACAAAGCUCACUGGGUCCUCCACAAUCUCUACUUUACCAAAAUCCAUGCGGGUGCAUCAUAAAGAGAGAUGCUUGAUGACCAAGUUGUUCUGGACAAAUCAAGCUCAUCUGUUUGCAGCCCCUGUUCCUGGGGAACAAAACCUCCUAGUCAAGAAUCAUCACGCCCAUGGCUACACUACCACAAACACUCCAGUAAAUCAGGAGGGAAUAUUGAAAUUGGAACCACAACACUUGGGUAUAUCAGGUUGGAAAAGACAGUUCAACAGAUGGCUGGUCACCUUGAUUGAGUAGAAUGCCACUGGAAGACCACAAAUCUCUAAACCAUAGUGAAGAAUUGGCCAAGGGGAGCAAAAUCCAAUCAAUUCAAGGGGUUCCCCUUUCCAGGGUCUUGGACAGCGAGGUGACAUGAAAUGGCCGUUCUAGUCUAUGCAAUGGCAGCAUGAACACAGAAAGCUGAAACGGGGGAUCAGUUCUGCAGCCAAGAGACAUUAAAGCUCAAAGGAAAAGAGAGUGGAGGGGCUGCUGCCCCAGGAAGGCUGGGCCCACCCCUCCUCACAGGCACCCUGAUGCCUGUUCAGCUUGGCUCUCUGGAUGACAGGCAGAAGCCCCAGUUGCUUCUCUUCUCCACGGUGAUUUCUGCAUACUUUAUCCAAACCCCCUCCCCACCGCUGUUCAGUUUCUGGCUCCUCUUCCUGCCCGUGCUCUGAGGCCAGCUGGGGGCCUCCCAGGUGACUCCUGCUGCUGCUGUCACUGGACCCUGACGCUGUGCCGCACCCGAAUUCCUCCGAAUGGAGCCUUGGCCAGAGCAAGGCGUGCCGUGUAGAGGAGCGGAUCUG
This is a long non-coding RNA of Homo sapiens (human), 1033 nucleotides long. Ensembl annotates it as ETS2 antisense RNA 1. Its record names the gene ETS2-AS1. The record is from Ensembl. NCBI's taxonomy places the organism in Eukaryota, Metazoa, Chordata, Mammalia, Primates, Hominidae.